AUUCUGCACGGCGAAUGACUCGAGUCGACUAUUCUCACCUCGUCGUCACAUGACUCUUCUCACUCGAUUCCGGUUGUCGACUCGAAUGAGGUGAGACCUUCAUUUUCGAUGUGAGAAAUGGAAUGAACCAAAACAAACGAAUGUUCAUUCGCACAUCUGUCAACUGGAUAGAGUUUCACGACAGCACUCGGAUUAUGGCGUACUCAUUAAACAACAAAAUAAGUAUUUCAUUUUAAUCUCAAAUAUUUCCAUUUUUAUUCAAUGAAAUACAAAGUUACCUACCAGAAAAAUCUAAAUAAAAUUAUUUUCAAACAAUGAGCAAACGUUUUAUUUAGUUAUGGGUAUUUUACUUGAUUAUUUAUAUCCAAAAUUUGUUUUUGCAUCUCGCCCUGAUCUCAACAACGGUGGGUGUUUGUUUUGAGUUUUUUUUUGCACACGUAAACGGUGGUUGUGAUCUAGGAUGUUGUGAUGGAUAUUUACCUGCCCCGGAACGAACUCCGGGAAACAUUUUCCUUCAACUGGAUGUCCAUCCAUAUAGGAAAGACUGAAAAAUCAUCAACCUUAUCCAGAUGAAAAUGACUGAGUGCUUUGCUCAGGUGAAUGGUUUCGGACCGUAUUCAGGAGAUAGCGGAAAAGAGCCGGCAGGAGAAUCAUUUAAAAAUGCAGAAAGCUGCGUUACCAUCGGAGUUGUAGCCCUGGAAUUAGGAAGAUCAAAUAGAUUGGCAGCAGCAUUUCAAGUUCAGCCAAUCAAUCAUAUCGAUAUUGUGGAUGUGACCGAGCUCCAUUUUGGCCGAAUGAUUCCGAUUGAGGCGAUAAGAUGUACCAGAUUUCCGAACUGUCGCGGAUACAUAUAGGGUAUUAUCAGCAGGUUUGUUCUCUUCUUCAUGGGUGGUUUGUAAUGGCCAAAUUGCCUGAGACUUGGUCAUGUUAGUUAGCUAAGUUGGGAAGUAUUUGGGAUCAACUAGGGUAAAAGCUCCCUUAGUGGAGGUAGUACCAAUAGUGGUGGUAGUGCCAAUUUAGCACUAUUUCGAACAAAAUGCUUGCAAAUGAUAUUUUUAAUAGAUGCAUCAUAACUAAUUAAUAACAUUAAUUCAGUUUUGUGUUUAGGAUUUGCCGAAAAACCUAUUUUAAACAAUUAUUUUCCUUAAUUUUUUUGCUCCUUUGCACCUAUAGUGGUGGUAGUGUUCCUAUAGUGGUGGGUCUCAUAAGAAUUCAAUGGGAUGCGCCACUAUAGGAACCAAAGUUAAAUUUUACCUCCAUAAUAGGAACCGUGUACCUAUAGUUGGUGCAAGUGAUUUAUUAGCAAAAACUGAAAUAAACAAUGGUUUUUACUUUUUUCCUAGUAAAUUUAAGUGAAAAACUAGCGAUUAACGUUUUCAGACUUUUUAUUUUGUGGUAUUAUCAAUUUUAUUCAAUUAUUUUUCUACAAGGAGCUACUAAUAGCACCAUUAUUGGUACAUUUACCCUAUGAGUUCCACACAAAAAUCCCUCCAUGUCGAACAGAACAAAGCUUCCGAUAAUACCUACACAAGUUCCUCCAUAUGUGUAUAUGUGGUGCUAAAUCCACAAUAUAAACUUUCUUCGAAAGCGCUGAUUCCCUGUAAA
Molecule: long non-coding RNA, 1605 nt
Organism: Aedes albopictus (Asian tiger mosquito)
Lineage: Eukaryota; Metazoa; Arthropoda; Insecta; Diptera; Culicidae
Exons: 2
Source: RefSeq, a predicted model, not a curated record